Pseudoliparis swirei is the source of this 886-nucleotide long non-coding RNA. RefSeq lists it as uncharacterized. The transcript is spliced from 2 exons. The record is from RefSeq and is a predicted model, not a curated record. Lineage: Eukaryota; Metazoa; Chordata; Actinopteri; Perciformes; Liparidae.
CAAGUGCGCCACUGAAAGAACCAGCAGAAUUCAGAGCACUGAAAGUACCCGGAUGGUGCUCUGCAAACGGGCAAAACAUGUAAAACGAUGGACACUACUCGCCCUAAGCGGCCGCCAUCUUGGCUACGUACCGGAAGAGGAGGAGCCAUUUCGCCAGCUUUUCAUUUUAUUUCUAAAACAAUGGCGGACAGCACAAGCGGUAGACCACGAAGCUACAGACUGUAAAUAGACGUUUCCUGGAGGUGCUGCUGGUCCUCUGCUGCCCUCCCGACAUCUGGCUCCAAUGACCUCUGGCACCUCACAUCCACCUCCAGGGCCUUGAAGAAGAUGGACCGCCAUCGCGUCUUCAGUAUCCCGAAGGACCUCUCCACAACACAGCUGGCCUUUGACAGGCAGCAGUUGUAGCUUGGAGGUGGACAGGCUGCCUGAAGGGGGUCAUGAGGCAGAUGGGUUGGGACAGGCAGGGGGAGCCACCAUCCCCAAGGAUACAGUAUCCUGGUGGAGGGGAUGACUGCUCAUAGAAGAUGGGGCUGUUAUUCAGGACCCUGGCAUCAUGCACUGAGCCCGGGGCCUGUCGAAGGCCCUGGCCACCACCCGAUAGGAGGUGGCGCUGGCAAGCCAAAAAAUAAAAACUAGACAGGAGAUCUCGGGGCCCCAACCGUGGUCAGUCAGUGCCCAGCACAGCCAUGAGGGCGUUGAAUGACUCGGUGAGCCUGAAGUCCACCCUCAUGUCACUGGCCAUCACAAUACAACGCCAGCAGUGGCAUUGCAGCAUUGAUACGGCAGCGCCGCCUGGGACUGGGUGGCUGCUGUAGAGUGUGUGGGGAGGGGAAGGGAAGAUUAUAUUAAUAUGUAAGUCAUUUUAUCAAUAAAAUGUUGUCAUUGA